UACCUUUUCAACCUAGAAGCCCUAGCAGCCAUCUCCAUCUCCACGCACACUUCUUCUUCUUCCUUGGAUUCAAGGGGAAGCUGCCCCAUCAACACACUCCAGCAAGCGUCCCCCCUUCCAUCAUCAUUCACUACCUUUUCUUCCACGGAUUCGAGGAGGAAUUCGAAUCCAACGCGUUAUCUUUGAGUUCAACCAGAUCUGGUCGAACUUGGAUUACCACUGGGUUUCAGAUUCGAAGAACCUGUCACGCCUUGCCCUUGUCAUCUUCCUUUGGAGUUUUGAUUGAGAUUCCAAUGGAUGCAUGAUGUAGUGUGUUGCUCAUCUUCGAGCAUAUUCUGGUGGAACUGGUCACUUCUAUUUUAUUGCUUUCUGGUUUGCAUCAAGUACUGCUUCAUCAGUUUCCCCGAUAUUAGAUUUAUGGUUUUUGCAUUGAGUUCAGCUUAGUUAGUUUUUGAACUUAGAUUGAGCUGUUUGUGUGUUUAGAACUAUUCGUGACAGAUUUUCUUAAAUCAGUAAUUGGUUCAUGUUUUUUUUAUUUCUUUAAGUUAGUCUUUUAGUUGUUGUCUAGUUGUUGACUUAUGUGAUUUCCAAGUAGGAGCAUUUCAAUCUGUGUGGUAAAGAAAUUUCAACCAACCGGAUAAUUUAUCUUAGCGUUAGCUUCCACCGUGAUUUCUAUGGGAAAUGAUCCGUGCCUUUGUUAUACCUAUGCUAUUUAAUUCACAAUAGGGAUGGAAAUUAAGUUGGUAUUGUAGUGUGAACCUUGCAACGACAAGACCAUUAAUUAUCGAUUUACAGUUCAGUACCAAUUUUUGGCGCCGUUGCCGGGGAGAUUAUGGUGUUAGUUAAUCUUUGGAAUGGUAAUAAAUUCUGCAUAAUUUUUAUUUGUUGCACUUAUUGACCUGGUGAAAUAACAUCUAAAUGUAUGACUAGAUCAUCUACCAACGAUUUACUUGAUCCUGACCUAGAAUUUAAAAGAACAUUUCAUAUUCUGCUGAGAAAUCAGAGGGGAGCCGUGGCAAUUUCUACGAGUAGCUUUCUAGAGAUUGAACUUGACAUGGAGAAUAAACAAACACUUGGGGAGUUGGUUGCACCAGAUGUCUCUUAUAAUUCAUUGUGCAUUCAAUAUCUUGAGCUGGGCGUGGAUUUUGAACUGCGUUAAAGGCUUAUUCAUCUUCUUCCUAAAUUUAAUGGAUUAGCUGGCGAGGACCCUUCUAGGCACCUCCAAGAAUUUCAUGCAGUUUGCUCUACCAUGAAACCACAUGGUAUUGGUGAGGAAGAUAUUUAUCCGAGAGCUUUCCCAUUUUCUUUAGCAGGAGCAGUGAAGGAUUGGUUGUACUCUAGAACUCUAGGUACAAUUACAUGUUGGGUGGACAUGAAAAGAUUAUUUCUCGAAAAAUUCUUUCCUGCCUCACAAGCUGGAGCUAUUAAGCGAGCAAUAUGCAGUGUUCAACAGCUUUCUGGAGAGACAUUGUAUGAAUAUUGGGAGCGAUUUGAAAAGUUAUGUUCCAGUUGUCCCCAUCAUCAAAUCAGCGAUCACUUACUCAUACAGUAUUUCUAUGAGAGACUUCUACCCAUGGACAUAUGUAUGAUCGACACAGCUAGUGGGGGAGUGUUAGUGAAUAAGACACCUGUAGAGGCGAGGGAGAUUAUUUCUACUAUAGCAGCCAAGAGUUCAAAUCUCCUGUCCCCAAUAUCACCUGUCCCCGUGUCCCACUCAUCGUCCCAGCCCACCACCGGCAGCUUCCGACCGCCGUCCCAAUCAACACUAUAACCCUUAGGGAAGGUGAACCUAAGAGAGACACCAUCGGCACGAUCGGCGUCGAAAUUCGGCCGGAUCUGAGUAGACUUUCCUCUGCCGUCGAUCUGAACCCCUGCUCAGAUAUGACCAGAUUCCGACGUCGAUCGUGCCGAUGACGACCCCCUUGGGUUCAACUUCCCCAAGGAUUAUAGUGUUGAUUGGGUGACGGCCGGAGGCCGCCAGCGAUGGACUGGGACGACAUGUGAGACACGGGGAUAGAGAGAUUUGAAGACAGGAGAUUUGAACUAUGGCAGCCAAUGCCCAACAGUUUGGGAGUAUAUAGGUAUCUACUAAGGGAGUAAAUGGAGUCCAACUAUCUAGGUUAGAUACUCAAGAAAUUAAGAAUAGCUUGCUACAGGAGAUGACUUCUGCGUUCAAGCAGUUGGCACUCAGCCAUUCACAACAACCUACAACUCAGGUAGUACCAACAGCAAUGAUUUGUGGACUUUGUUUCUGUUCAUCACACACUACUGACGUUUGCACUUUGUUGCAGCAAGAAGGGAUUUCUCCUUUUGCAGAUCAAGUGGCAGCAGUUAAUAAUUUUCAGCCUCGACCUCAGUUUUACCAACAACAAUCUGGGAACAAACAGUCGUAUGAUCCCUUUUCUGCUACAUAUAAUCUAGGGUGGAGAGAUCAUCCUAAUUUGAGGUACGGGAAUCCUUAUCAGUAUCAGCAAUCUUAUCAUCAACAAAACCCCUAUCAACAACAUCAACCAUGUCAACAAUCGUACCAAUUAUCUUCUUCAUCUCAGAGACCAACAAUGUGUCAACUUCCCUAACUUCCUUAUCGUUCACCACAACUCCAAUUGCCCAAACCAGAACUUACCACAUAAAAGUUGGAGGAGCUUAUACAGCAGAUGCAGUUAAUGACAAGUAAUCAGUAGAACUUAGAGAGACAAAUCGGACAGAUGGCAUCAAGCAUUACCUAACUGCAGUCACAAGGAUUGGGUCAGUUACCCUCACAGAGUGUGCCAAACCCAAAAGGAAAUGUUAGUGCUAUUACACUUCGAAGUGGGAAAUCCACUGGGGAAGUGGAACUCACCCCAUUAGCACCAGUUACAAAUUCAGUAUGCUUAGAACUAGAAGCUGAGCAAAUCGUGCACUUACCCUUUCCGCAAAGAUCAGAAAUAAGGCAAAAGGAUGACAGGAAGGCAGAGGAAUUGCGAGAACUAGUGGAUACCUUUAGUAAAGUGGAAGUGAAUAUUCCAUUAUUGAAAGUCAUCAAGCACAUUCUGAAAUAUGCAAAGUUUUUGAAAGACUUGUGUGUUCAUAAGAGGAAACUAAAGGGCAGUGAGCUAGUCAGUAUGGGAAAGAACGUGUUGACACUAAUUCAGACAAUGCCGAAGAAAUGCAAGGAUCCAAGAGUCUUCACAAUACCUUGUGUUAUACGGGAUAGUGAUUUUGGAGACGCAAUGUUGGAUCUAGGAGCCUCAGUUAAUGUUAUGCCAAAAUCCAUUUUUGAAGCACUUGGUAUUGGACGCUUACAAACAAUUGGAAUAGUUAUUUAGCUAGCCAACCGUAGUUUAGUUCAUCCCGUUGGGGUGAUAGAAGAUGUUUUGGUAAAAGUAAAGAAUUUAAUCUUUCCAGCAGAUUUUUAUAUUUUGGAUAUGGAGGGAAAUGUCUCUCCGGGACAAGCUCCAUUGAUCCUUGGAAGAUCGUUCCUCAAAACUUCUAGGACUAAAAUUGAUGUACACGUCGGGACACUUACCAUGGAGUUUGGUGAUACAAUGGUACAAUUCAAUAUUCUAGAUGCAAUGAAAUAUCCAGCAGAGGACCAUUCACUCCUUAUCAUUGAUGUAUUCGGUGAGCUAGAUUUUGAGGUAUUAAGUGAUGCAACAGCAGAAUUAAUGAAUAUUUCCGAUGAUACCAGUUUUACAGCAGACGAAGUAUCCAAUGAUUUGAGGGAUAUUAACAAGGACUAUAGUCUAGAAAGCAAAGUUGUUGGAGAGUUCAUGGCAGACUUGCAUUCAGGGAAGUUAGAUUCGUUGGUGGAACAGGAAUAAAAAAUUUGAGUUGAAACCAUUGCCAGAUCAUCUAAAAUAUGCUUAUUUGGAAGAGGGUAAGCAGUUACCAAUAAUUAUUUCAAAGAAUUUGGAUCAGGAUCAAGAAAGCAAGCUGUUGGAUCUGUUACGACAACAUCAGAGGGCUUUUGGUUGGACGCUUGUAGACCUACCAGGUAUCAGUCCAAUCAUAUGUAAACAUCAGAUAUUUCUAGAGGCCGAUGCUAAGCCAAUAAGACAACCACAAUGUCGUCUUAACACACUUAUGCUAGGGUAGUCAAGGCUGAGGUAACUAAGCUGCUGCGAGUAGGAAUUAUAUAUCCCAUUUUGGAUAGUCAGUGGGUCAGUCCCGUGCAAGUAGUACCGAAGAAAUCUAGCCUCACAAUGGUGGCAAACAAAGAAAAUGAAUUGAUACCAACCCGAGUGCAAAAUUCAUGGAGAGUAUGUAUUGGUUAUCGCAAGCUAAAUCAAGUCACAAGAAAGGAUCAUUUUCCCUUACCAUUCAACGACCAAAUGUUAGAAAGGUUAGCAGGAAGAUCACGUUAUUGUUUCUUGGAUGGGUUUAUAGGUUAUUUCCAAAUUCCGGUUGCUCCAGAGGAUCAAGAAAAGACGACUUUUACAUGCCCAUUCGGAACUUUCGCAUAUCGACGAAUGCCAUUUGGACUAUGUAAUACUCCAGAUCACUAUCAAGGAAGAAUGUUCAAAGGAAAGUAAAGGCUAAGGAGAAAAGCUUACACUUCUUACUUCUCCAAAUCUAGAAUUAAAUUGUAAUUACUGUAGCCAUUCCUACUAUAGUUGGUGAAAACCUUAACGUGUUCAUGACUUUAAAAUAGUAUAUUCCAGAUUUUCUUAAGGUGUCCUCAAGAGUAUUGGGAAGAAUGCCGACAAGCUAAAAAAAAUGGAGAGAAUUUAACAA
This is a long non-coding RNA of Zingiber officinale, 4713 nucleotides long. RefSeq lists it as uncharacterized. The transcript has 4 exons. The record is from RefSeq and is a predicted model, not a curated record. Lineage: Eukaryota; Viridiplantae; Streptophyta; Magnoliopsida; Zingiberales; Zingiberaceae.